RNAcentral lists this ribosomal RNA (429 nucleotides) under Chloroflexota bacterium. RNAcentral's name for it is "Chloroflexi bacterium partial 16S ribosomal RNA". It matches the Rfam family "Bacterial small subunit ribosomal RNA", at positions 355 to 776 of the family's 1533-position model. Lineage: Bacteria; Bacillati; Chloroflexota. The record is from RNAcentral.
UGGGGAAUAUUGCACAAUGGGCGCAAGCCCGAUGCAGCCAUGCCGCGUGUGUGAAGAAGGCCUUCGGGUUGUAAAUCACUUUUAGCGGGGAGGAAGGCGUUAAGGUUAAUAACCUUGGCGAUUGACGUUACCCGCAGAAGAAGCACCGGCUAACUCCGUGCCAGCUGCCGCGGUAAUACGGAGGGUGCAAGCGUUAAUCGGAAUUACUGGGCGUAAAGCGCACGCAGGCGGUCUGUCAAGUCGGAUGUGAAAUCCCCGGGCUCAACCUAGGAGCUGCAUUCGAAACUGGCAGGCUAGAGUCUUGUAGAGGGGGGUAGAAUUCCAGGUGUAGCGGUGAAAUGCGUAAAGAUCUGGAGGAAUACCGGUGGCGAAGGCGGCCCCCUAGACAAAGACUGACGCUCAGGUGCGAAAGCGUGGGGAGCAAACAGG